This 870-nucleotide long non-coding RNA is filed under the name Bos taurus (domestic cattle). Its description in RNAcentral is "long non-coding RNA NONBTAT010902". Lineage: Eukaryota; Metazoa; Chordata; Mammalia; Artiodactyla; Bovidae. The record is from RNAcentral.
GCUUCAAAUUUUAUAUGUGAUUGGCACUCUGGGAAAAAUGCUGUUUCACCACAAAGAAAACACUGGCUUUCAGAAAGUAACCAUAUUCUUCAAUUAACCAAAAGACAGAAGACAAAUGGAUUUUACUGAUGUCUUAAAUAAUCAAUGAUCAAGAGAAGGGAAAAAAGUAAAUCUCUUUGAUUGAUUUCUUUCUCCCAGAGGAAGCCUAGAAUGACAAAGGAAAUGCAAGCUACUCCAGCCACUUGACUUGCAAAUCAAUUUGGCCUGGAUUAUAACUGGGAAUUAAACCCUAAUAAAAGGUAGAGGGCUGGUGCUAAAACAACAGUGACUAAAGCACGAAGCUUUGCCAUUGACAGUGAAUGACUAAAAAGCCGUGUGUCAAAACAAGACUAUAAUUUGGCUAGCUAGACUACGGGGGUAAUACAACAGCUGCAGGUCAGGUUACUGUGUCUCCGUGUAAAGAUCUGAAGAAUCCACUGGCUGCGUCCAGCUCUUGGUCCCCAUUUAAAAAUGCUUAGAAAAACUGUAGCCCUUCCUGGCAUGUGGGCAUUUUUUUGUUGAAUAGAUGAUCUAUUAAUGGAAAGAAAAAAAAAGUCAAAUGGCACACUGUGCUCUCUCAGCUUUUCUGGGAAAAAGUAACAAUGAAAUGAUUCUACCAUUAGUAUCAUUUACAACUUGAACCAGUAUAUUUAAACUAUAGCUUUAAAAAUCAUCUUCAUUUCCAGACCACAUUUGUAGAUCAUAAAACCCAACCAAAUGCUAGGGUAGGGAAAAUUCAGUACUCCUUAUUGGCCUAAAAUCUGUCAUUCUCUGAUGUGUGGUAUUACACCUACUGUGUGUGUUGAGGGAGGCAUGUGCGCGAGUGUUUUC